CAAGUGCGGAAAAUGCAGCUAUGCUGAAUUAUCUAUCAAACUGCUUAUCAGUAAUGGAAUCGCGUUUCCCUAAUUGUGGCUUUAUUAUCCUUGGUGAUUUUAAUAAACUUAAUACCUCACGUCUAAGAACUGGCUAUGAUUUAAAACAGCUUGUCAAUUUUCCAACCCGCGGAAACAAUACCCUUGACAUUGUUUUAACAAAUCUUAACGCAUCCUUUGAUCAACCUACUAAGUGUGCCCCCUUUGGGUUACCAGACCAUAUGUCUAUUGAGGUGAGACCAGUCGAGCGUCGUAAUAUCCAAGAAAAGUCAAAACUUACGGUAAAAACGAGGGACUUGCGGCCUAGUUCCCGUCUUGCAAUGCGUAAAUAUCUUGAGCGUGUAGAUAUCCCAGAAAUGCUUAGCAGAGUUGAUUCUUGUGAUGAAAAAGCCUCGCUUCUUGAAACUAUUGCUAAAACUGGCUUAGAUUAUGUCCUCCCAUUACGAAGGAAAAAGAUUAAACCUAACGAUCCCCCCUGAAUGAACUCGACACUAAAGAGCCUUAUUAUAAAUCGUCAAUAAGCUCUCAACCAGGGAAAUAUCGAGGAGUUCAAACGUUUGAGGAACCAAGUCAAUCGCCAGAGGAAAAUCUGCCGAGCUAAAUAUUACAAAACCACUGUUCAACAUUUGAAACAAUGUAAGUCUAAUGCUUGGUGGAACGAGGUAAAAAAACUCAGCGGUACGAAAGUAGUUGAGGAAAACUCUCAUAAGAUUGUGAAAGCUUUAAGACCCAAUGAUAGUUC
Non-coding RNA from Paramuricea clavata, 781 nucleotides. NCBI's taxonomy places the organism in Eukaryota, Metazoa, Cnidaria, Anthozoa, Malacalcyonacea, Plexauridae. The record is from the annotation of a GenBank genome assembly.